This 924-nucleotide ribosomal RNA is filed under the name Salmonella enterica subsp. enterica serovar Typhimurium. RNAcentral describes it as "partial 23S ribosomal RNA". It matches the Rfam family "Bacterial large subunit ribosomal RNA", at positions 825 to 1662 of the family's 2925-position model. Lineage: Bacteria; Pseudomonadati; Pseudomonadota; Gammaproteobacteria; Enterobacterales; Enterobacteriaceae. The record is from RNAcentral.
AAGGCCAAUCAAACCGGGAGAUAGCUGGUUCUCCCCGAAAGCUAUUUAGGUAGCGCCUCGUGAAUUCAUCUCCGGGGGUAGAGCACUGUUUCGGCUAGGGGGCCAUCCCGGCUUACCAACCCGAUGCAAACUGCGAAUACCGGAGAAUGUUAUCACGGGAGACACACGGCGGGUGCUAACGUCCGUCGUGAAGAGGGAAACAACCCAGACCGCCAGCUAAGGUCCCAAAGUCAUGGUUAAGUGGGAAACGAUGUGGGAAGGCCCAGACAGCCAGGAUGUUGGCUUAGAAGCAGCCAUCAUUUAAAGAAAGCGUAAUAGCUCACUGGUCGAGUCGGCCUGCGCGGAAGAUGUAACGGGGCUAAACCAUGCACCGAAGCUGCGGCAGCGAACGUAUCACCCAAGACAACUUUACGGAGUUGACGAUUGACGGAGCGAAGCGACGUCAAAGCGUUCAUUAAAGUCGAGUUGGCUUAGGGAUACGUUCGUUGGGUAGGGGAGCGUUCUGUAAGCCUGUGAAGGUGUGUCGUGAGGCAUGCUGGAGGUAUCAGAAGUGCGAAUGCUGACAUAAGUAACGAUAAAGCGGGUGAAAAGCCCGCUCGCCGGAAGACCAAGGGUUCCUGUCCAACGUUAAUCGGGGCAGGGUGAGUCGACCCCUAAGGCGAGGCCGAAAGGCGUAGUCGAUGGGAAACGGGUUAAUAUUCCCGUACUUGGUGUUACUGCGAAGGGGGGACGGAGAAGGCUAUGUUGGCCGGGCGACGGUUGUCCCGGUUUAAGCGUGUAGGUGUGUGUUCCAGGUAAAUCCGGUUCACUUUAACACUGAGGCGUGACGACGAGGCACUACGGUGCUGAAGCAACAAAUGCCCUGCUUCCAGGAAAAGCCUCUAAGCAUCAGGUAACACGAAAUCGUACCCCAAACCGACACAG